AAAUCUUUCUUUCACUCUCUUUUUCUCUAUCUUCAUCAAAUACUUUGACUCCAUACAUAUAAUUUUGUAUUUCUUCUCCUUAUGAUUAAAAAACUAAGCUUAUGAAGAUACUCACCUGUUCACUUGGGCUCUACUGUUUUGUUAACCCUUUUGAUAGCAACCUCUUGAAGACAACCUCUGUUUAUAUGCUUGUGGAGGCAUGUGGCUUAGUGGUUAGGAUUUUGGACACAUGAUCAUAAGAUUGUGGUUUCGAUUCCUGGAGCAGGCGAUGUGUUGUGUUCUUCAGCAAAACACGUAAUUUCACAUUGCUCCAGUCCACUUAGAUGGCAAAAAUGAGCAAUCCUGUGACAGACCAGCAUCCCAUCCAGGUGGAGAAUUUAUACACCAUGGAAGCCAGGAAACCAGCCCAUAUGAGUUGGCACAACUUAAAACGGCUAGCAUGAGUAGAAAAUGUUUUCAGAAGCAUGGUUGCAUGUUCUAACAACCAAGUACCCUUCCUAUUGCUAAAUAAUCACCUAUAAAAGAGGAAACAAGGGUUUGUUUUCUUAGACUGGUAAAAUGAAGCAAAUACAAUUCACUAUAAAACUGUUGUGGACAGCAUCAACAAGUAUCAAUCCAACAAAAAGCAAACAACAAAAUACACAUGUAUGCUGUUGCAUGGCAAAGAAAUGUUUCCAAUUAAAGGCUUUUGCUGAAAAUGUUAGAGACAUCCUCUCCUUAAGUUUUUCGAAAGGUUUGAAAACUCCCCACUACACAAAAUACUGGUGAUGACUGACUGUGAGGAAAGUUCUGAUGAGGAAAAUGUCCAAUUCUCUUUGAGAAGUCACUGUCAAGGUUUACCCACUGAUAUGGGCAGAAUUUUAGCAAUGCCAGCUUAUGCAGCAAUUGGAAAGAGUCAAAUAAUUUGUCACAUUUUAUCUCAUUUGCUCUUUAGCCAUGACAAAAAUUAAUAAA
Long non-coding RNA from Octopus bimaculoides (California two-spot octopus), 954 nucleotides. NCBI's taxonomy places the organism in Eukaryota, Metazoa, Mollusca, Cephalopoda, Octopoda, Octopodidae. The record is from RefSeq and is a predicted model, not a curated record.